This 78-nucleotide transfer RNA is filed under the name Termitomyces sp. T159_Od127. Its description in RNAcentral is "tRNA-Glu". It matches the Rfam family "tRNA". From Rfam's summary of the family: Transfer RNA (tRNA) molecules are approximately 80 nucleotides in length. Their secondary structure includes four short double-helical elements and three loops (D, anti-codon, and T loops). Lineage: Eukaryota; Fungi; Basidiomycota; Agaricomycetes; Agaricales; Lyophyllaceae. The record is from RNAcentral.
UCGGAUAUGGUGUAAUGGCUAACAUUGCCGCCUCUCAUCUGUCCGCGGCAGCUCGGGGUUCGAUUCCCCGUAUCCGAA